UCCCUGCACACCGGUGCUCUCAACGUUUGAAAAUUCUCUCUACAGUUCAUCAUUUGUACAGUUGAAAAAGUACAAACGGAGUCCCCCCCCCUCUAGAGGUGGCGACAUCUGUAGUGAAUGAAAAGAAACACCCAACAUCGUUGCCAUGGUAACGGACUGUCUACACUGGUCACUAAGAGCAUGACAUAAAAAAUGACGUUAUAGAAGUUAAUCAAAUUAAAAUUGUGUAUUUAAUAAAUAAAAUGACCUCUUCAAAAGCAAAAACUGCCCUGCAACGAGUCAAAGAAAUUGACAAAAAGUACAAAUCUAGGAUAAGUGAUCACAGUAAAAUUGUUCGCAAGAAUUCAAACGAUGAUUCUGACGAGAAAUCACUCGAAAUUCUCCGUCCCAGACUCAAUAUACAAAUGCCAGAAACUUAUGUUGAAUACGUGAAUAAUUAUCCGUCAGAUAAUGAACGAAAAUUAGUCUCCCCGAUUCGAGUGGUAAAUAGCUUAUUGGAAUCAUUCGAUGUGCAUGACUCCAACUCGAAGGAAUUAGAAGGGGACAGUGUCACAGUGGUGAAUGAAAAAGACAGUCAAAAUUCUGUGGAAGAAAUACUGGACCAAUCAAUUAGUGAAAUUAUAGAAAACUCUAAUGAAACUUCAGGCAAAACUUCUUCACUAUCAGGAAGAGGAACCAAAAGGUCAUCAGUUGAAUCUGAAAGGAGUGCAUCCAAGGAAAAGGUAUUAAAUUUUAGUGAAUUUUUAGACAAUUAUUCCAAAGCAACUGGAGGUCGUGAUGAAAGUUCCUUAAACGAUGUUGAAAACCUUGAAUCUAAAUCAGAGAAGAUAGCGUCUCCUGCAUCCGUCGAGUCCCAUGAGGAACAGGCGAUUGAGAGUUACUCUCAAGAUCCCUUCGAAAGUAAUACAUCGCCGAGUGAAGAGAACGAAUCAGAAGAAGAAACUAUUGAGUCAGAAACCUCCGCCUAUCUAACUCCAGACGUAGAAAUUUAUCAAGAAGAUUCGCAAGUCUUAGAAAGUAUUGCAGAUAAUUCAGGACUUGUGGUAAACGAUCGUGUAGAUGGAUUGCCCUCUCAACGCAGUGAGCUAAUUAGUAAAGCAAACGAAAUUGAAGAAAUAAAAAUUACAACUGAGGGACAAUCAUCGAAUUCUGAUAUACCACUACAUAAUGGAACGUUUUAUGGGCAACGAGAGGUACCUUUGAAUGAAAAAAUACAGAGUCCCGACGUCAUUGCUCAUAGCGAAGCGGAAGGUAGAUGUGAGGAAAAAAUCCAUGUUCAAGACAAGUCAAGCGAAAGUAAUACCAGCGAGCCAUUAGCUGAGCUCGAGAAAUCAAUUAUCUCUACUGAUGCAGCUGAUUUAGAAGCGACGAAGAAAUUGAAUAAAGUUGUAGUGGAACUCCAUGGACGAACUCCUGUGGAGGAAAAAGAAAACCAAGUGAAAAGUCAUCAGGAGGCCACGAAGACCAUGAUCCUGAUAUUGCUUUCCUUCGAUCGCGGCUCAUCGACAUCCGUCAAUGGUUAAAAGACCAGUACAUACUUUACAACGAACGCUAUGACCUUGCUGCAUCCAUAAAUAGGACUUAACAAUCAGUUGAUGUCACAUUUAUCACACAGGAAAUCCGUCAAUCACGAGGCAAAAAGAGGAAUGAAGUUGAGGGAUAAUGAUGAAAACAAUAUAUUGGAACUGCAGACUAUCGAAUCUUAUUGAAGUGCAAUCGCGCAAUUAAGUGAAAUUACGUGGUGUAAUUAUCCUGCCGUCGGAAUCACGGGCCGGUAGAUUCAGUCGACAAUGCGAUGAAAAAAGGAAAGAAAAGAGAGGAUAAUAUAAAAGGCGGGAGGACGAGCCGUGAACUGGACAUUCGGGCCUCGGGGAUAACCAACAAGCGGAACAAAGAGAAACCUUACCGGACACAUGAGGUGAGAUCUUGGGCAACCUCAAAGAAUUUCGCAAUGAAUCAAUGUGUGAAUGUUCCAUGUGAAGGAAGAAUUUUUGUAAAUAUUUGCAAGCCAGGGUGAUGAGGUAAAAGACCGCCAUACCUGUUGUGCCAGAAAUAUAAUUAACGGAAAAAUAUAAUUAACGGAUCAUUCUGUCAUAUUUGUCUUGGACCAGCCCCAAAGAUGGACAAAUUAGAAAAAUAUGAUUGACCGACAAGAGAAUGAGGUAGUUUUAUGGGUUUAAGAAUAAAAGUGUAUGGGAAUUGUGGUAUUAGCACGUAAGUAGACGUCGCCAGGUCUCGAUGGUUAACGCAAGGUGCUCGGGUACCUCAGAACAACAACGGGAGUCUGACGAUGUACGCAGCAGGUUGUAUAACGGUACGAUUCCCUCAGCAUCUCCCAAGUUACCUGGCGUGCUUUCAAAAGUUUUUCAUGGGCUAACUUGACGAUUAGCGUGUUCUUCUAGAAAGUUAUUAAAAAAAUUUUUAAUAUUCGUAGAAUAGAAAAAAUAAUUGUUCACUGUACAUCUGGGAAAAAAUGAUGUCAUAUCUGAUAUUGUGGUGGCAAUUAAAUUGUAAUAAGCUCCUUAUUGUAUCGGAAAAUACUGCCAAUGGAGAUGCAGGAGGAUUUUUCUCAUAUUUG
Molecule: RNA transcript, 2578 nt
Organism: Diachasmimorpha longicaudata
Lineage: Eukaryota; Metazoa; Arthropoda; Insecta; Hymenoptera; Braconidae
Exons: 5
Source: RefSeq, a predicted model, not a curated record